This 253-nucleotide ribosomal RNA is filed under the name uncultured bacterium. Its description in RNAcentral is "partial 16S ribosomal RNA". It matches the Rfam family "Bacterial small subunit ribosomal RNA", at positions 524 to 776 of the family's 1533-position model. The record is from RNAcentral.
UACGUAGGGGGCUAGCGUUGUCCGGAAUCAUUGGGCGUAAAGCGCGUGUAGGCGGUCCGGUAAGUCCGCUGUGAAAGUCGAGGGCUCAACCCUCGAAUGCCGGUGGAUACUGUCGGGCUUGAGUACGGGAGAGGCGAGUGGAAUUCCCGGUGUAGCGGUGAAAUGCGCAGAUAUCGGGAGGAACACCAAUGGCGAAGGCAGCUCGCUGGGACGUUACUGACGCUGAGACGCGAAAGCGUGGGGAGCAAACAGG